UAUGCAGGCGGAUCGUUAAGUCGGGGGUGAAAUCCCGAGGCUCAACCUCGGAACUGCCUUCGAUACUGGCGACCUUCGAGUCCGGGAGAGGUGAGUGGAACUCCGAGUGUAGAGGUGAAAUUCGUAGAUAUUCGGAAGAACACCAGUGGCGAAGGCGGCUCACUGGCCCGGUACUGACGCUGAGAUACGAAAGCGUGGGGAGCAAAACA
This 209-nucleotide ribosomal RNA is filed under the name uncultured bacterium. Its description in RNAcentral is "partial 16S ribosomal RNA". It matches the Rfam family "Bacterial small subunit ribosomal RNA", at positions 568 to 775 of the family's 1533-position model. The record is from RNAcentral.